Molecule: long non-coding RNA, 1277 nt
Filed under: Salmo salar (Atlantic salmon)
Lineage: Eukaryota; Metazoa; Chordata; Actinopteri; Salmoniformes; Salmonidae
Description: lncRNA (ENSSSAG00000119648.1)
Source: RNAcentral
UGCACAUUGAACACAGUUGUGUAUAAUGGCAGGGUAUUCCUAGCAAACAGAAUGGGCUGGUUUGCAGACAAACUGAAAGGGUUUUAAGGUUUUAAGCAAUCUUGGGUCAAAUUGGUUAAAUAGUACGUUAAAAUAUGGGGUUUCAUAGAUUGAAGUACAGUAUUGUAUCCAAGGGUAGCGCAUGUUCAAUUAAGUUUAAAACUAAUGAUUGGGGGAAUACAAUGGAAGUAUAAGUAUUUUUAGGUUUUGUUUGUAGUUAACUUUUGGGUUUCUGAAUCGGUGUAGUAUGAGGAAAUGUUGACCAAGCGGUUAUUUUAUGGAAUAAGGAGCGCUUAGCUCUUUGGGGAAAAGUUCCUAGGGACAGGAUAUCUUAAAGGCGUAGACACACAUGGCAUUUUGAAGUUUUGUUUUCUGAGUUUUGAUUAAGCACGUGAAAUUAUUUUAAUAGGGAAUGUUCUGGGAAAUUGAGAUACAAAAUGUAGAUAAAGGUACUAGCUUCAUUUGUCUAAUAUAGUAAGAAACACGGUUCUGAAAAGGGGGUGGGACUUUUAACCCCUCUGGUGACUUUUCCGGUGUGGUCUGAUCAGCCACAUUGAAAAGCCAUUUGGAUGGUGAAUUUAAGGUCAUUGGUGUUAUUGAUUUUAAGGGAAUUUGUAGAACUGAUAAUUAUGAUGGAGUUAAAGUUCUUAGAGACAAUUGAUAAUUUGAACCAAUGAGAAGACUAAAAGGGCAAAGCCUUAGAAUAAGGGUAGGCUUUCUUAAGUCUAUUUUCCUAGAACAAUAAGGGUACAUUAAUUUUCCUUUAUGGUAGUUCAGAUGUUUAUUUUCCCUUAGGAAGUCAGCUGUGGUUGUAAGCAGUGGAAGAGAUUUAACACAACAAGGCUGUGGAAUUGAUAUACUAGUAUUACUAUAUUUUGUUGUGAAUAAGUUUAAUAAUGGUAGACUUAUGUCAACAGAACAGGGAUACAUGACAUCUGUAGGUGAUCCAGGAUUAUUGAGGGUAUCGAGAUAAAUUUAAGUAGAUAUGCAAUAUCUAGACAGGUUGAUUUUUCUAAAGUUCAGGAGUGCAACCAAGGAGACAAUGAGACAUUUAGUCAAUAUUUGGAAACAACCAUAUUAUGAGAAAAAGCUGGAGACAGAUAGAAGGGCAGACAGAGAGAUCCUCCCCUGCACUGCUGAAACCUUGAGGUUUGGGGAGUAGCAGGAAGAAAGGAGGGGGGCCAGCAGGAGUAGAUAGGAAGAGAAUUUGGUUAACUUAGCUUUAGGAUAUUAAUUCA